RNAcentral lists this non-coding RNA (206 nucleotides) under uncultured Faecousia sp. Lineage: Bacteria; Bacillati; Bacillota; Clostridia; Eubacteriales; Oscillospiraceae. The record is from RNAcentral.
AGAACUAAUAAUCUGAAAGGUGGAAUGAUGGGGUAACGCCCUGAAACGCCUUCCCUAAUACUCCGGCUGGCGCAUGGAUAUAUUCCAAUGUGUCAGAAGCCCGGUGAAGUCGGCUGAGAGCAACCGUAAAUGUAAAUGGAAAUCCAUUUGUAUACGAAACCUGUCCAGAGGUGGACGGUGCUGCCUAUAGGCCGGGGGUCUACAAA